This 27-nucleotide non-coding RNA is filed under the name Homo sapiens (human). Lineage: Eukaryota; Metazoa; Chordata; Mammalia; Primates; Hominidae. The record is from RNAcentral.
CCAUCAUAUAUCCUCGUUUAUGGCUCU